Taeniopygia guttata (zebra finch) is the source of this 2064-nucleotide non-coding RNA. Lineage: Eukaryota; Metazoa; Chordata; Aves; Passeriformes; Estrildidae. The record is from RefSeq and is a predicted model, not a curated record.
CCCUCCUGCCCGCGGGGCUGGCGGCCGGGACAGGUGAGGAGUCGUGCGAGGCACCAGCUCCUCUUGCCACCCCACCGCCCUCCCUGGUUUGGCUUGUGUUUUUUAUUUUUUCUUUUCUGGAGAAGGAGGAAAGUACUGAAAGCGGGUCCGUGAGGUUACUUUAUGCCGAUGUUUCGUGCUGUUAGGCUUACGCGGAGCUCGUUGCCGCAGCAGGCGCUGAGAGGCUUUGAUGCAGGCGCUGCCGCCCGGUCCGAACCAUCUGAAUGAACAUGGUUACUUAAUGCCCCGAGGAGGCAGCGGCAGCUCAGGCAGGAUGUCACAGGGUGAGUAGUCCGUGACAGAUCCAGGGAAACCGCAAACUUCUGUGCAACUGCUAGAGGAUACGGCCGGCUGGACUUCCCGAGGACUUCCCAAGCAAUGCUGCCCUCAAAAAAGCUGAGCACCUCGUACUUUCAGUCUGUUUUUCGAUUUAAAUUAUAGGUAGCCCCUUCACAAGUGCACUCUAGACACAUAAAAGGACAGCAUUUGAGAGCUGUGGGACAGAAACAAGAAUGCAGCUGAACUGAUGGCAGUUUGAAAAAGCAGUUUCCAAGAAGUGGAAAUUCCCCCUUAGAUUUGGGAGGAACCACCCUGAAAUUCUGGGGAAGUGAAGUUGCAGUUCCUGGGAACACAGCUGUCUCAAGAUGGGAAAUGUUCAGCCACAUUUGGAGGUGAUGGGAAUACCCAUACAGUAGUGAGAAUUUCCUGGGCCAAAGCAUACAGAAGAAGAGCCAGAACUACUCUCAGCUGACUUGUCUUUGGCAAAAUGGUAGUAAGAUGUCCCUCCAGACAAGCAGAAGACUGUUCCCAGACCAGGAGCUUUGGGUGUCACGCCUAAGUCAUUAACACCAAGAUUAUGCCUGACCCUGCCAAGAUCGGCCUUCCUGAAAAGUCUCUGCAUCCCCACCAUCACCGGCACAUCAGCCGGCAGCACUGGCUAUUGGUGCCCUCUGGCCCCAGGGGCAUCCUGCAGACCUUCCACCAUGGCACCAAUCCUCACUGCUGUGCCAUGGCAACGUGUUCCUGAAAAGUAUCCCGGUGUGGCAGCUCACCUGCUUACAGCAAAAUCCAAGAGUGUUUGUUUAAAUGCUCUGUUUCCAGUAAAGGAAACUCUACACCUCAGAAGCAGCUUUGUCCCUGACUGGUUAUUUUAAAUUGGGGUUUGUCAGAGGGACCAGGGCAGUGUUUGUUAUAAUUUACCAGUCCCUAAGAAUUGCUUUCAAACUGGAGACCAUUAUUACCUGAGAUUAGAGCUGUGCCCAGUUUUAUUUUUAUACCAUCAUCAGUGCACAUGAUGUUUAAAGACAAAAAGACAGGAAAAGGCAGCAUCUCUUCCCCAGCUAAUAUGUACGGUUUGGUGACUGAAAGAGAUUUAUUGAAAUCAAUGUGCACUUUACCAUCGAUUUCUUUGUGCAGUGAGGCCUCCUUUAAAGCUUGUCAGCUUUUCCUUGCAAAACUGAAAUGAGACUAACCUGAUGUAUCAACAGUGAGUAGUUUGAAGUGAUACUUCUCUUUCUCUCUCUUUCUCUCUCUCCAGGCUUCUGAGACACCACAAAAUAACUUUUAUUUAAAAAUGUAUUUAUCACAUUUACUGAAGGUGUCCCAACUGCCUAAAAAAAUAAAAACUGCAUAAAAAACUCAUUUUAGCAUUGGCAGGGGACUUGACCAGAUGAUCUAACUGGUCAUUUAUUGCUAGCUAUGACUAUAAUUGCAUGCCCACAUUAUGCUGUUUAAAAUUUUAAAUUCAACCCACACCAUAUUUUCAUUCUGAAAGUGAAAGGAAUUUACUUUAGCAUCAUUCUUUGCUCAUGUCAGGAGAGCAAUUUUUCACUGCUGAUAAGAAAAUGUCAUUUUUUUUGUUUAAAAUUGCAAAUUAAAAAGCCAUUUCUAUGUCUCCUGAGCUUUUAUUUAUUGAUUGUCUCAUUAUUUAGUGAAUAAUUUCAAUUAAUUUUAUAAUAAUAACAAUCUGUAGUACAUAUCUAUUGACUUGUACAGAAAAGACUUUAAAUAAACUAUUGUGAAUUA